This 292-nucleotide unclassified non-coding RNA is filed under the name Hevea brasiliensis (rubber tree). The record is from RNAcentral. Lineage: Eukaryota; Viridiplantae; Streptophyta; Magnoliopsida; Malpighiales; Euphorbiaceae.
GCUCCUUGGAAUUAGAAGGGGUCCACAUCAUUCAACUCCCCAAUUUUUGUUCAUUUAUGAAAUGUAACUCACCACCAUAUCAGUACACAAAUCUUGUGUUCACUGAAUGUGAUUGAAAUAAAAUCAAUAACUUAUUAUCAAAAUUGGUAAAAUGAAAGGUACAGGAUACAAUUGCAAAAGCAUGCAAAGUUUAGGAUUUAUUCAAUGAUUAGGCCUUUUAACAUCUUAUAUACUUUUUAGUACAUAUUUAUUGUUAAUUGAGAAGAUGUAUUGAUUCUUGAUUGGAAAAUUG